UGGGGAAUAUUGCACAAUGGACGGAAGUUUGAUUCAGCGACGCCGCGUGGUGGGUGUAGGCCUUCGGGUUGUGAACUCCUUUUUCUCGCGAAAAAGGCACAGUUUUGGCUGUGUUGAUGGUAGUGGGGGAAGAAGCGCCGGCUAACUACGUGCCAGCAGCCGCGGUAAUACGUAGGGCGCGAGCGUUGUCCGGAUUUAUUGGGCGUAAUGAGCUCGUAGGUGGUUCGGCGCGUCUGUCGUGAAAGCCAGCAGCUUAACUGUUGGACUGAGGUGGGUACGGGCGGGCUUGAGUGCGGUAGGGGUGACUGGAAUUCCUGGUGUAGCGGUGGAAUGCGCAGAUAUCAGGAGGAACACCGAUGGUGAAGGCAGGUCACUGGGCCGUUACUGACACUGAGGAGCGAAAGCGUGGGGAGCGAACAGG
Molecule: ribosomal RNA, 421 nt
Filed under: Fusobacteriota bacterium
Lineage: Bacteria; Fusobacteriati; Fusobacteriota
Description: Fusobacteria bacterium partial 16S ribosomal RNA
Rfam family: Bacterial small subunit ribosomal RNA
Source: RNAcentral